RNAcentral lists this ribosomal RNA (233 nucleotides) under uncultured bacterium. RNAcentral's name for it is "partial 16S ribosomal RNA". It matches the Rfam family "Bacterial small subunit ribosomal RNA", at positions 103 to 334 of the family's 1533-position model. The record is from RNAcentral.
CGGGUGAGUAACGCGUGAGGAACCUGCCUCAAAGGGGGGGACAACAGUUGGAAACGACUGCUAAUACCGCACAAGCCCACGGCUCGGCAUCGAGCAGAGGGAAAAGGAGCAAUCCGCUUUGAGAUGGCCUCGCGUCCGAUUAGCUAGUUGGUGAGGUAACGGCCCACCAAGGCGACGAUCGGUAGCCGGACUGAGAGGUUGAACGGCCACAUUGGGACUGAGACACGGCCCAG